Molecule: small RNA, 28 nt
Filed under: Bombyx mori (domestic silkworm)
Lineage: Eukaryota; Metazoa; Arthropoda; Insecta; Lepidoptera; Bombycidae
Description: ovarian small RNA-7921
Source: RNAcentral
UGAACAUGGUUUGUUAAGGGGCUUCACU